GCGCAAGGUGGAAUCGAGUCGAGAAAGAGCCACAGAGCGAGUGAGAGAGAGCAGCAGCAGCGAGUUGUUUCGCCCCAAGGAAAGAAAAUCUUUUUGGUCGAGAGAAAUUCUCGUGCGUGUGUGUGUGUGUGUCUUGACUGUGAGAAGAGUUGGUGCUUUGUAUAAUUUUAUUAUACGUUGCAGUUGUUGUUUGGGAGUCACUGCCAAGUAGGCUACUUUCCGUUCGAAACUUUGUAUCGUUUUGAUUGCUGCACACACACUACACAUUGUGUGUGUACGUUUGUCGAUCGCUUUUAAGCAGCAGAGAAGAAAAUCCCCCAUCAUCGUGUGUGUGUGUGUAUCUAUCGUUAGAGAGAAACACACACACACACACGUAUACGUAAGACGUUACGUGCUGCACCAACACACACACUUGCCCCGUUGAAAAAGCGUAACGGUGAGCGAGGCCCGGUCGCGAGAGGAAUGCCAAUCGCGAUCGAUUUCAUGGCCGUUCAUCCACCGCCGUCGUCGGCCGUCGUGCCAGGUCGCUAAAUCACAAACUUCUCAAUUCAUCAGUUCACAAAAAACCCAACAAUUCAAGAAAAGUACAACCAACCAACUCGACAAUCAGACAUUGGCCCAUUUGGUUCUUCUCGUCCGUCAGCGAGGAAAGUAUCCCGCCGUUAUCGGGACGAUAUGACCGAACAGCAACUGCCUCAAUCGAACGAUAUGAAUUCGGCAUCACCGCUCAGCAGUUCCUUUGUGACGUCGCACCGACGGCCCGAAAUGGUGGUCGGUCCGGUCGUUGGCUCCUCUUCUUCCGGCUCGUCGGUUUCAUCGGCCGUCACGUCGGCCAGUCCGGCUGCCAACAACAACAACAAUCUGCCCAGCUACAGGGAGCAGGCCGAAAUCCAUCAUCAGAUAAUGCAGCUCAAGCAGCAGCAGCAACUGCAGCAACAAGUCCUCCUUCAGAGGUACCAGGCCCAGCAGCAGCAGCUGGCCCACCAACAUGAGCAGCAAAUGCAGGAAUUUCUGGAACAGAAGAAGAAAGCGGAAGAAGAGGCUCGUCUGGAACGGGAGAGGCACGAAAAGGAGCGAUUGCUGGCCCUCAAGAACAAGGAGAAGCGCGAGCAGAGCGCCGUGGCUUCCUCCGAAGUCAAACAAAGACUGCAGGAAUUCGUGUUGAAUAAGAAGCAACGCGAAGCGGCAGCGGCGGCCGCAGCUGCCGGGAAUGGAACUGCCAAUGCGCCCAGCUCCUCGUCGGCCCCGUACCGAGCCUGGACUGGAGCUGUGCCGACCCUACCGGCCAGCCAUGGAUGCAGCAACAACAAAGGAUCCACCUCGCAAUUAUCCAGCGGAUUGGGCUCGUCGGGGAGCGGCAACAGCAGCAACGGCGUCGGUGGCAACAGUUCGUCGUGUUCAUCCUCUUCGUCCAGCGGCAUUGUCCAUCCUCAUCCCUAUCGCCAUCCGCUCCUUUCCGGCAAUUUCGACGACGACUUUCCUCUCCGCAAAACCGCGUCGGAACCCAACCUGCUCAAAAUGCGGUACAAACAUCGUGGGACGGUGGAGCGUCGCAACUGCAGUCCGUUGGUGGCCCGGCGGAGGGGUGGCGUACCUCACCACCACCUCUCGGCGGGUAGCGGCCCGGUCCUGCCUGGCCAUCAUCACCUACCGCCACCGCCGCCGCUUCACCACCGCCAAGCCCCGCCACCAGCCCACUCGUCGUCGGUCGCCUUGGCCGCUAAGCGGAUGUCGCAGCUUACAAGUCAAGACACGGGUGGAAGCACUCCGGAAUCGCCUUCCGGUGCCGGAUCUCCGCUUGGCUCUCAUCAUCCUUCGUCAGGAGUUGUACCUGAGGAGAUCAGUCCGUCUCAGUACCACCUUAUGGCCAGUCAUGGUCAGGGAAGCAUUUCGGAUCUGACGCUCUAUUCUAGCCCGUCUUUACCCAACAUAUCUCUUGGGCGGCCCGCAAUAGCCAGCCAUCAUGCCGCCGAACCUCCCGGAUUGGCCAUGGUCAGCGAAGUGGUGGACAUGCGCGCAGCUUUCUCCGUCCGUAUGGGACUGCCGGCCACAGGAGCCGGCCAUCAUCCGCUUUACCAGCAACCGCAACCUCAGCACCACCCUCAUGCUCAUCCUCUCCAUCAACAUCACCACCUCCUCAUGCCGUCUGGCCCGCCUUUCUUCCCGCCGCCGCCGCUGGAUUCCGGCGGAGGCGACUACGGAUCCAGCGGAGGCAGUCCCGAAUCGCCCGGCUACAUUCAAAAGCAAAUGCAACUGCUGGAGCAGGCCGGCCAUCACACACAAAUUCUGAUGAGCGGACUCUACAACGGCGCGCCCAUCACCGACGCACAGGUCGCCCAGGCGAGAUUGAACAAAUCAGGAAUGCGUCCGUUAGGACGGACGCAAUCGGCUCCUUUGCCGCUGGGCCACCCGCUGCUGCAGGGAGCCCCGCACGGAGUGAUGCCCACCGUGCCGUUGACGCAGCAGCAAUUCGACCAGUAUGUCCGCGAACGUCACAUCUACGAACAACAACAUCAGCACAAUUUGCUCAAACAGCAAAUCCGCCAGACGGUCUUGACUCGGGCGGGUAGCCGGAGCCAAGUAGAAAACGUGGAGGAAGAAACGGAAGCGGCCGUGGCUCGAGAAAUGUCACGCGACCGCGAACGGGGUGCCCCUCUGCCGGAAGUCAUCGAUUUAACUGAGCACAAAUUGGAGGAAGAGGCCGAAGCCGACCGGCACUCUUCGCGGGACGGCCUUUCGCCCCUUCAGUUGCGCGUCUCCAGCACAAGAAGUUCCCUUCAAGCCAGUCCAGGUUCGGCCUUUGUUCCACGUGGCCAUCAUGUCGCCCGGCCGUUGUCUCGGGCAUUUUCCAGUCCUUUGGUCUCCCUCGACCCACCCGGUGCUGGCCCUUCCGGAGCAGGUGAGAGCGGAGGCGCUGUGGUGCCCAUGACUUUGGCGGCGGCCGGAUGGGGUCCGUCGGCCGGCGGUGCCAAGACGGGCAGCACCAGCACCGCGCUGGCCUACGACGGCCUCAUGUUGCGACACCAGUGCAUGUGUGGCAGCAACAGCGCCCACCCGGAGCACGGCGGCCGCCUGCAGAGCAUCUGGGCCCGUCUCCAGGAGACUGGAGCCGUCCACCGCUGCCUGCGGCUCCGCUCGCGCAAGGCCACGGCCGAGGAGCUCCAGUCGGUCCACUCUGACGUCUACACGAUGCUCUUUGGCACGGAACCCAUGCACCGUCCCAAGGUGGACGUCAAUCGCUUCGCCGAAUUGCCCAUGAAGAAUUUCGUCAUGUUGCCGUGCGGCGGCAUCGGCGUCGACUCGGACACGACCUGGAACGACAUCCACACGCCUUCCGCCGCCCGGAUGGCUGCCGGCUGCGUCAUCGAUCUGGCCUUUAAGGCUGCCAUGGGCGAGAUUAGGAACGGUUUCGCCAUCGUCCGCCCGCCCGGUCACCACGCCGAAGCCCAGCAAGCCAUGGGAUUUUGCUUCUUCAAUUCGGUCGCCAUAGCAGCCAAACAGCUCAGACUCAGGCACAAACUUGAGCGCAUCCUCAUCGUCGACUGGGACGUCCAUCACGGUAAUGGAACCCAGCAAAUCUUCUAUGAAGACCCUCACAUCUUGUACAUUUCCAUCCAUCGCCACGACGACGGUCAUUUUUUCCCUGGGACUGGUAACCCUCUUGAGUGCGGCUCCGAAGACGGAAUUGGAUUCAACGUCAAUAUCGCUUGGUCCGGUGGACUUAAUCCGCCAUUAGGAGAUGCCGAAUAUCUGGCCGCUUUCCGCGCCCUUGUUAUGCCUAUUGCUCAAGAUUUCGACCCAGAAAUUGUUCUGGUUUCAGCUGGAUUUGACGCCGCAACGGGACAUCCGUCUCCUCUGGGCGGCUACCAAGUGUCGGCCGCCUGUUUUGGCUACAUGACGCGACAACUAAUGGAGUUGGCCGGCGGUAAACUUGUCAUGGCGCUCGAAGGUGGCUAUGAUUUACCGGCCAUCUGCGACGCCUCGCACGAGUGCGUCCGGGCCCUGCUCGGUGACGAGCCAGUGCCCAUUCGUGAAGAAGAACUCGCCAGGCGGCCGUGCCAAAAUGCCAUUGAUUCGCUCCAUAAAGUCAUUUCGAUCCAGCAACCUCACUGGCCCAUUAUCAAGCGCUACGCCUUUUCCGUCAGCCUGUCGGCGUACGAAGUCGAAGGAGUAGGCCGGUCGCGUAGUUUCAGCGGCGGCAAUGGAGCCGGAUCGCUGGAAGGCGGCGAGGACAGCGAAACACUUUCAGCCAUGGCCGGCCUCUCGGUCUGCCGCACUGAUAGCAGCAAAAGCAUCGCGUCCUCGUCCAGAGAGUUGUCACAAGAGCCGAUGGAUCAAGACGAAUCUAAGUGAAACGGAAUCUAAAAAAGAAGAAAAAACAAAAUGAAUUCUUGUGUUUUUGUUUUAGUGUUAAUUGGAAGGGGGUGGGGGAUUUAUUUGAAAAGCGGACAAAGAAGCCCGAACAGAGAAAGAAGAAUAUUUUGAGAGAAAAAUGGCGCUAUUUUUUUUUUAAAGUUUUUUAGCGCCGUUAAACGUACAGAACAUACAGAGUUGGCGAUCUCGUUUGUGGGCCACGGAAUAGUUUUCUUUUUUUUUUCUGUUUUGUUUUUGGUUUUGUUUUUUUUUGUUUAUUUUUCGUGUGCGUGUUUUUUUUUUUUUUGUUUUGUUUUUCUAAAAAAUUGGAAGAUUUAAGGCGGGGGAGGGGGUGGAGACGAAAAGUGAGACGGAAAUCAUUCCACGCAUCAAUACGAUUGGGAUAUAUAUAUAUAUAUUUACAUAAACAAUGCAUAUUAUACAUAGGCAUACAAAUCAAGAGGGAAAAAAUGAAACGACGAAGGGUCGGUUGAUGAUCGGUAGACGACCUUUCUUUUUUUCUGUUAUGUUGUUGUUGUUGUUGUAUCCUUCUUUUUACUCCCCCUUCUCUUUUGUCUAUUCUCUGUUUGUUUUAUUAUUAUUAUUUUCAAUUUACAAUGGUCCAACACUUGCUAUCAAUCUUAGGAUAUUUUUGUCAAGGAAAGUAAAUCAUUUGAUGGAGGGCAGAGAAGGGACAUGUAUGCACUCAAUUAAGCGGUGGACAAACCAACCAAAAUUUCGUUACGAACAGACACAGAUUUAAUGUUGCGCAUUUUACGCCCAAAGAAACAUGGAACUUGAUGUACCAUCCCACCCAAAAUCGAUUGUUUUGAACUCGCCAUUCUCUCUCGAUUUGAUGAUGGACAGCCCAACACAAGGAGGACAGCAAACGCGCAACAAACCAAAAAAGGGGAAAGAAAUGAGACACCCAACCGUCGAUAUUUGAAAAAAUUUAAAAGACAUUGACAACUGUCAAAACAAAAAAAAGGGAGAAAGAAAAAAAGUAAUCGUCUCGUUCGGCGCACUCCCCGUCGCAAAUUGUCCGAUCUGAAACAUUCCCUGCAAAAAGAAGUUGAUUCUCUCUCUCUCUCUCUCCUUUCAAAUUCAUUUUCCCGUUCGUUUCCUUUCUUUCUUGAUUCGAUGGAAUUAUCAAACACGCGCAAUUUUGGAUUGGCAAGUUUUUGGGGUUUAUAUUUUUGAUUUUUCAAUGUUGGUUGUCCCAUAUGCGUUUAUUUUGAUUCAUGUGAAAUCCCACUCGAUUCUUUUCUCCACUUGGAAGAGAUGAAACUCCUAGUCAGUUGCACACACACACACACACAAACACUGGUGAAUGAUUUGGAAUGGUUUCAUUUUGGAAGUUUGUGUUUAUUUCUUUGAAAUUAUUUGACUUGUUGGAUUUAUUGCCGCCACCCCACUUGUUCCCGAAAAGAAAACAAUUCACAGCAACCACCUCCUGUUAAGAAAUAAAAUAUUAGACGAGAGCAGCUGGCCAUCUCCGUCUCCACGCACAUGUUUCCCCCCUCCGAUUUCAAUUUGAAAAAGAAAAGAAGAAGAAGAAAAGCGUCCGUAUUGCCCAGAAAUCCGUGUCCUGUGCCCUCGAUAUCUUUUUAGAAAAUGUUUGUCAUAUUCACACAAGAAAAUUGUCAAAGAUGCGAAGGAAAAAAAAAAAGAAAUUCACGUCGCCAUUUCAAAAUGUUGUUUCCUGCGGAUCGCAUUUCUUUUUAAUUUUUCCUCGUGAGCUUUUUUUGGACAAUUCCGACCAGAAACGGAAAACACAAAAUUUCAUUUGAUUAUUAUUAUUUUUUUUUAUUCGGGGGAAUUUUAUUAUUCGGUCGUUGUUUGAAAGGAAAUUAUAUCUCCUACUCCCAUUUUGUCCGUGUUUCACUCUUAUUUUUCUUGUUGCUUGUGUUUUAUUUUGCGUCUAAUUCACCUCCUGAUAUCUCGCACUCUGUACAACUGAUGUCGAUGGUCGUGUGAGUGUCUAUUCAAUGUGACGUGAUGGCCGGUGACUGGGCGUUUGGACAUGUCGCUCGUUCAUUUAUUUUUCAUGUGAGAAAACAAAAAACAAAUUAAAACAAAUAGAUUUGA
RNAcentral lists this unclassified non-coding RNA (6441 nucleotides) under Daphnia pulex (common water flea). RNAcentral describes it as "histone deacetylase 4-like, transcript variant X5". The record is from RNAcentral. Lineage: Eukaryota; Metazoa; Arthropoda; Branchiopoda; Diplostraca; Daphniidae.